GCGCGGGUGGCGGAAUGGUCUACGCGCCGGGCUUAGGACCCGGUGGCCCGAAGGGGCCUUGUGGGUUCGAGUCCCACCCCGCGCA
RNAcentral lists this transfer RNA (85 nucleotides) under Myxococcales bacterium. RNAcentral's name for it is "tRNA-Leu". It matches the Rfam family "tRNA". From Rfam's summary of the family: Transfer RNA (tRNA) molecules are approximately 80 nucleotides in length. Their secondary structure includes four short double-helical elements and three loops (D, anti-codon, and T loops). The record is from RNAcentral. Lineage: Bacteria; Pseudomonadati; Myxococcota; Myxococcia; Myxococcales.